This 253-nucleotide ribosomal RNA is filed under the name uncultured bacterium. RNAcentral describes it as "partial 16S ribosomal RNA". It matches the Rfam family "Bacterial small subunit ribosomal RNA", at positions 524 to 776 of the family's 1533-position model. The record is from RNAcentral.
UACAGAGGUCCCAAGCGUUGUUCGGAUUCACUGGGCGUAAAGGGUGCGUAGGUGGUGGGGUAAGUCGGAUGUGAAAUCUCCAGGCUCAACCUGGGAAUGGCAUUGGAAACUACCUUGCUGGAGGGUUUGAGGGGGGACUGGAAUACUUGGUGUAGCAGUGAAAUGCGUAGAUAUCAAGUGGAACACCAGUGGCGAAGGCGAGUCCCUGGAAAAUACCUGACACUGAGGCACGAAAGCUAGGGGAGCAAACAGG